GAGGGUAUAGCUCAGUGGCAGAGUGCCUGCUUAGCAUGCAGAAGGUCCUGAGUUCAAUCCCCAGUACCUCCA
Molecule: transfer RNA, 72 nt
Filed under: Camelus bactrianus (Bactrian camel)
Lineage: Eukaryota; Metazoa; Chordata; Mammalia; Artiodactyla; Camelidae
Also listed under: 2 other names
Rfam family: tRNA
About the family: Transfer RNA (tRNA) molecules are approximately 80 nucleotides in length. Their secondary structure includes four short double-helical elements and three loops (D, anti-codon, and T loops). Further hydrogen bonds mediate the characteristic L-shaped molecular structure. tRNAs have two regions of fundamental functional importance: the anti-codon, which is responsible for specific mRNA codon recognition, and the 3' end, to which the tRNAs corresponding amino acid is attached (by aminoacyl-tRNA synthetases). tRNAs cope with the degeneracy of the genetic code in two manners: having more than one tRNA (with a specific anti-codon) for a particular amino acid; and 'wobble' base-pairing, i.e. permitting non-standard base-pairing at the 3rd anti-codon position.
Source: Rfam by way of RNAcentral